CUCGGCCUCUGCGGCCGCAAAAAAGCGGCGUGCGCGGACUUUCUCGGACGGGCGGAGCCCGGACCAGCGUCGGGGCCUUCCCGUGGAAUGCCUCAGCUGCGUGGCUCGGGGAAAUAAAAACGGGCGCGGUCGGCUGCUUGUCGCGGCGAACGUCGUUACCUCGCCCGUAAAACGGCGUGGGCGGCCAAGCCGUGGCUCGCUCCUUCCGUGCUCGUCCUCGGGCGCACUUCGUCCGGCGCCUAACAGCCGACUCAGAACUGGCACGGACCGGGGGAAUCCGACUGUCUAAUUAAAACAAAGCAUUGCGAUGGCCGAAGCUCGGUGUUGACGCAAUGUGAUUUCUGCCCAGUGCCCCGAAUGUCAAAGUGAAGAGAUUCGAUCAAGCGCGGGUAAACGGCGGGAGUAACUAUGACUCUCUUAAGGCCUUAAGAGAACGUGCGAGGCCGACGUUCGGAGCCGACAAGGCAGACACUGCGACCACGG
Strigamia maritima is the source of this 483-nucleotide ribosomal RNA. It matches the Rfam family "Eukaryotic large subunit ribosomal RNA", at positions 1978 to 2341 of the family's 3401-position model. The record is from Rfam. Lineage: Eukaryota; Metazoa; Arthropoda; Chilopoda; Geophilomorpha; Linotaeniidae.